Molecule: ribosomal RNA, 1308 nt
Filed under: Paenarthrobacter aurescens
Lineage: Bacteria; Bacillati; Actinomycetota; Actinomycetes; Micrococcales; Micrococcaceae
Description: bacterial SSU rRNA
Rfam family: Bacterial small subunit ribosomal RNA
Source: RNAcentral
ACGAUGAUCCCAGCUUGCUGGGGGAUUAGUGGCGAACGGGUGAGUAACACGUAGAGUAACCUGCCCUUGACUCUGGGAUAAGCCUGGGAAACUGGGUCUAAUACCGGAUACGACCAUCUGGCGCAUGUCAUGGUGGUGGAAAGCUUUUGUGGUUUUGGAUGGACUCGCGGCCUAUCAGCUUGUUGGUGGGGUAAUGGCCUACCAAGGCGACGACGGGUAGCCGGCCUGAGAGGGUGACCGGCCACACUGGGACUGAGACACGGCCCAGACUCCUACGGGAGGCAGCAGUGGGGAAUAUUGCACAAUGGGCGCAAGCCUGAUGCAGCGACGCCGCGUGAGGGAUGACGGCCUUCGGGUUGUAAACCUCUUUCAGUAGGGAAGAAGCGAAAGUGACGGUACCUGCAGAAGAAGCGCCGGCUAACUACGUGCCAGCAGCCGCGGUAAUACGUAGGGCGCAAGCGUUAUCCGGAAUUAUUGGGCGUAAAGAGCUCGUAGGCGGUUUGUCGCGUCUGCUGUGAAAGACCGGGGCUCAACUCCGGUUCUGCAGUGGGUACGGGCAGACUAGAGUGCAGUAGGGGAGACUGGAAUUCCUGGUGUAGCGGUGAAAUGCGCAGAUAUCAGGAGGAACACCGAUGGCGAAGGCAGGUCUCUGGGCUGUAACUGACGCUGAGGAGCGAAAGCAUGGGGAGCGAACAGGAUUAGAUACCCUGGUAGUCCAUGCCGUAAACGUUGGGCACUAGGUGUGGGGGACAUUCCACGUUUUCCGCGCCGUAGCUAACGCAUUAAGUGCCCCGCCUGGGGAGUACGGCCGCAAGGCUAAAACUCAAAGGAAUUGACGGGGGCCCGCACAAGCGGCGGAGCAUGCGGAUUAAUUCGAUGCAACGCGAAGAACCUUACCAAGGCUUGACAUGAACCGGAAAGACCUGGAAACAGGUGCCCCGCUUGCGGUCGGUUUACAGGUGGUGCAUGGUUGUCGUCAGCUCGUGUCGUGAGAUGUUGGGUUAAGUCCCGCAACGAGCGCAACCCUCGUUCUAUGUUGCCAGCGCGUUAUGGCGGGGACUCAUAGGAGACUGCCGGGGUCAACUCGGAGGAAGGUGGGGACGACGUCAAAUCAUCAUGCCCCUUAUGUCUUGGGCUUCACGCAUGCUACAAUGGCCGGUACAAAGGGUUGCGAUACUGUGAGGUGGAGCUAAUCCCAAAAAGCCGGUCUCAGUUCGGAUUGGGGUCUGCAACUCGACCCCAUGAAGUCGGAGUCGCUAGUAAUCGCAGAUCAGCAACGCUGCGGUGAAUACGUUCCCGGGCCUUGUA